Molecule: long non-coding RNA, 407 nt
Organism: Rosa chinensis
Lineage: Eukaryota; Viridiplantae; Streptophyta; Magnoliopsida; Rosales; Rosaceae
Exons: 2
Source: RefSeq, a predicted model, not a curated record
ACAGGAUGAGACAGCUUCUGCAACCGUGAGAAAAAUUCUGUCUUCACCGAUCAAGUUUGCAACAUGGGAUGCAUGAAGCUUAUUGAUCACCACUGGACCGGGAUUUGCAAGAACAAGCUGCACAUGAAACUUGGAGGUUUCAGACCCAAUAUAGAAGAAAUAGACACAAGUGGAGGAAAAGCACAUGGACAAAUGAGAUGGAGAGGUAGAUAUAACUUACUCCAUGAUGAGCUGAGUCAAAAACUGAGGUUAAUACAGAGAUUAUAUCAGUUUUCUUUGUGAACUUUUUUAUUCCGAGAAAACCUUUGAGCUGUUGGAGGGCAAUUGUGAUGGCAGCUCCACCCAUAAAACCAACAAUGGCAGCAUGAGAUAGGAAAUCAAUCAAGAAUCCCAACCUGAUAGCCAAA